AGGUAGUGCUGGAGCUCCGGGGGAAUGUAGUUGCGGGUGAACGAGCGGAGGAGCAUCACGGUGGCCGCCACGGACGCCGCCGUGGAGACUACGUUUUGAAAUUUGGGAGUCGUCAUUGGGCCUUAAUUGGGCCGGUGUAAGAAUCGGUAAGUCAAGAGAGAAAAUAUUGAUGAAUAUGAAAUCUGAAACUAUGAACUGAUGCAAUUAAGAAUCAUUGAUUUGAUUUGGUGAGUUUACUUGUUUUGAGUAUUGUUUUCUCAUUGCAAUUUCUUCGUUGACCGUGACUUCUACUAACAAUAACAAAGUCUUCUUUCCUACAGUUGCAGGAAACUUCUUUUGAGCUUCACAGCAUUUCAAUUCUCAGUGGAAGGUAUGCUACACGCGGGAAAUUUACGAAAGUGGUGCAAUUUCUCACUCUUUUUAUGAAAAUGAGUAAUUAAAAAAAAAAAAAAAACUACAAAACAACCUUACAUAGGAUAAAAUCCUUGUUACAUUAUACGGUAUUGUUAACUGUGGUCAAACCAAGGAAAAAGUGGGGAAGGAACCAACAAAAUAUCUCACACUUGAGUUCUUAAGGAAUCAGUGAGCCCACAUAAAAUGAAAGUAAAGCAUCAUCAGAUAUUACACUGAUAUCAUAAAACUAUACAAUAAUUAGUAUACUAUUUUUUCUACUUUCUUUUCACUAUAUUAUUUCACACUUUUUAUCUCUCUUUUUUGCAUAUUAUAUUGCAUGUUUUCUUUUGCCUUUUAUUUUUGCAAUUUGUUGCAUAUUAUAUCUAGAAUCAAAAAAAUGCCAAACAUCAUGCAAAAGCAGAAUAUCUAUUGCUACUCCUAGUGACAUUACAUGGUGGUGACUGGCAUAUUGAGCUUCUGCAUAAUUAAAUAAUGCUUCUCCCAAUACCUAAUUAUAUUCUAUACUUAAACUCUUAUACCUUCUAUUUUUCUUUCCUUCAACCAUUUUUCUCAAUAGAUUUCAUUAAAAUAUAAUUUCGAUUAGUAACACAUUAGUUUUUAAUUUCUACAUUUUUUUUAAAGUUGUUUUUACGGGAUUGAGAUGUCCUAGACAUAACUGAAAACAUCUCAAACAUGUAAGGUAGUCAUUACUAUUAUGCAGUACAAAAUAAUUUUUUAGAAUUAUUAACUGAUCGUAUGUAUGAAUCCUAUUAAGUGAUAAUAUAUAGAAUUUAUAUUAAUAUACAAGUACAAAAAAAAAAAAAUUAUACUAGUACUAGUACGAGAUUCUAUUACGUGAUACAAAAUUAUAUAUUUAUAAAAAAAAAUUAUCUUCUAACCUAUCCUAGGGAUUUAUAUUAAAGUAUAUGUCUCACCUUUCAAAAAUAUUUACUUAUGUGAAACAUAACACGAUCAUAAUAGGCCAAACAAUAGGUAAAUAUAGGAUAAGCUAAUGAUUCAAAAAUAAUGACUAACAAAUAAUAUCAUUACAUAAAAAACAAAAUGUCAUAUGUAAUAAAUAAAAUAAAAUCAAUAUAUCUUUCGAAAGACAAUGUUGUUGUGUCCAUACUUAAAGACUAAUAUUUGUUGGUCAAAUUGGGGUAGACCACUUUGUUGGUACUCCCAAUCAACCCAAUUACCCUAUCCACAAGGUAAGACCACUCUUGACACUAUUCUAGUAUAGUCUACCUCAGUGUAAUUUCAUAAUAUAUCUUUAGCAUCUUUUCAUAGACUCUUCAUCACCUAAUACCACCACAGUCACCAAUGCAAUUUGAGAUUUCAUUGAAAUUGUUAUAGCAUAACUCACCACAUUAAUUAUAAAUUAUACAUUUUCAUGUACUACAACACCUAACUAUUACGUAAAUAAUUAUUUUUUAUUUAAAUUUGGGAGUAUUAAUAAGAAUUUUUUCUUAUAAAAUAUUAAUUAUAACAUAACUUCAUCUGUUUUAUAUUUUUAAUAAUUAUUUACAAUAUAUUUAAAAAAUAUAUAAGUUUUACAACAAUACAAAUUUUACAUUAAGAUAGAAGAUCCAUAUAUUUUAUAAGAUAUUAAAACUAAGUUUUUCAUGACUGAAAAUUUUAAACCCUAAACCCAUCUAAAUCAAUCUAAAUCAUAAACCUAGAUAUGAUACUCAAUCUGAUAUAUCGGAAAAAAAUGUUUUCACACGAACGUCUUUAUUAAAAAUAGUUUAUUCUUAAAAUUAAUCUUAUAAUUUGUGUCUUUUCUUCUGCUAUAAUAGUACAGUCCUUAAAACAAAAUACAUCAUAAAAAUAAAGAAGUUGGGAACUUUGGCGGCAUGAAACAAUAUCCUUAAAAGAAAAUAGAUAAAUAGAGAAAUAGACACAGAAAUAUAUUCUUAAAAACUUAAAUACAUUAGGAGUCGAAACCAGAGAAUAGCAUCUAUUGUCAUGUUUUGUCUCUCAGGGGAAGUCCCCUCAUCUCCACACUAUUCUCACUAUUCUCACUAUUCUCACAUCUCAAGAAUCAGAAUACCCCUUUCCCAUCAAAAUCACUUUUUUUUUCAUUUUCUCUUAAUAUUUUCUUGACCUACCAUACCAACAUGCAUCUAAACCAUUAAUUACACUUCACUUUUAUCUUCUUAUUUAAUACUUUAUUUACACACUUUUUCAAAUAUACAUAUAUUCUUUUACAGUAAAUAAUAAUCUUCUUCUCUUCGAAUCCUCUGUUCCCUAGCAAUGAAAGCCUCCACAGUGCGGCGAAACUCCUCGUUGCUCAUCCCAUCUUCAGGCCGCGCCACUUCUUCUACAGCAACACCCUCAAUCUUCUUCCUUCCCUUUUCACUCUCACUCUCACACCUACGCAUCACACCACGUCGUUUCUCCCUCUCACACCUUCUAUAACCCUUUUCCAAACUAAUUUUCGCUUCCCCUGUUUUCAUCCUCUGUUUCUUUCUGCUAUACUCUGCCACAACUGUUUCUUGGUUUUUCGUUGUGUUUUGAAUUAACUCUUGGUAGAGAUUAGGCUCCUGAACAACGUUGUUGCCCUGAGCGGAGAACUGGGCGAAGAGUGCGAUGAUUAUGAUGUUUCCAAUGAGGAAAACAAAGCGAGGACUGUUCAUGAAGAGUGACAAGUCUCUGAAGUACUCGCCAGAGUUUCUCACUGCAACUGG
Molecule: long non-coding RNA, 3083 nt
Filed under: Phaseolus vulgaris (common bean)
Lineage: Eukaryota; Viridiplantae; Streptophyta; Magnoliopsida; Fabales; Fabaceae
Description: long non-coding RNA (PVUL_LNC000066)
Source: RNAcentral